GAUGAACGCUGGCGGCGUGCUUAACACAUGCAAGUCGAACGAGAAGUGAAGACGGAAACCUUCGGGCGGAAGGCUUUAUUUCGAGUGGCGGACGGGUGAGUAACGCGUGGGUAACCUGCCUCAUACAGGGGGAUAACAGUUGGAAACGACUGUUAAUACCGCAUAAGACCACAGCACCGCAUGGUGCGGGGGUAAAAACUCCGGUGGUAUGAGAUGGACCCGCGUUCGAUUAGCCAGUUGGCGGGGUAACGGCCCACCAAAGCGACGAGCGAUAGCCGAGCUGAGAGGAUGACCGGCCACAUUGGGACUGAGACACGGCCCAAACUCCUACGGGAAGCAGCAGUGGGGGAUAUUGCACAAUGGGGGAAACCCUGAUGCAGCGACGCCGCGUGAGUGAAGAAGUAUUUCGGUAUGUAAAGCUCUAUCAGCAGGGAAGAAAAUGACGGUACCUGAGUAAGAAGCCCCGGCUAACUACGUG
This 478-nucleotide ribosomal RNA is filed under the name uncultured bacterium. Its description in RNAcentral is "partial 16S ribosomal RNA". It matches the Rfam family "Bacterial small subunit ribosomal RNA", at positions 28 to 507 of the family's 1533-position model. The record is from RNAcentral.